Molecule: ribosomal RNA, 546 nt
Filed under: uncultured bacterium
Lineage: Bacteria
Description: partial 16S ribosomal RNA
Rfam family: Bacterial small subunit ribosomal RNA
Source: RNAcentral
UGGGGAAUUUUGGACAAUGGGCGAAAGCCUGAUCCAGCAAUGCCGCGUGUGAAGAAGGCCUUCGGGUUGUAAAGCACUUUUGUCCGGAAAGAAAUCCUUGGCUCUAAUACAGUCGGGGGAUGACGGUACCGGAAGAAUAAGCACCGGCUAACUACGUGCCAGCAGCCGCGGUAAUACGUAGGGUGCAAGCGUUAAUCGGAAUUACUGGGCGUAAAGCGUGCGCAGGCGGUUUGCUAAGACCGAUGUGAAAUCCCCGGGCUCAACCUGGGAACUGCAUUGGUGACUGGCAGGCUAGAGUAUGGCAGAGGGGGGUAGAAUUCCACGUGUAGCAGUGAAAUGCGUAGAGAUGUGGAGGAAUACCGAUGGCGAAGGCAGCCCCCUGGGCCAAUACUGACGCUCAUGCACGAAAGCGUGGGGAGCAAACAGGAUUAGAUACCCUGGUAGUCCACGCCCUAAAACGAUGUCAACUAGUUGUUGGGGAUUCAUUUCCUUAGUAACGUAGCUAACGCGUGAAGUUGACCGCCUGGGGAGUACGGUCGCAAGAUU